This 1395-nucleotide ribosomal RNA is filed under the name uncultured bacterium. Its description in RNAcentral is "bacterial SSU rRNA". It matches the Rfam family "Bacterial small subunit ribosomal RNA". The record is from RNAcentral.
AGAGUUUGAUCCUGGCUCAGAUUGAACGCUGGCGGCAGGCCUAACACAUGCAAGUCGAGCGGUAGAGAGAAGCUUGCUUCUCUUGAGAGCGGCGGACGGGUGAGUAAUGCCUAGGAAUCUGCCUGGUAGUGGGGGAUAACGUUCGGAAACGGACGCUAAUACCGCAUACGUCCUACGGGAGAAAGCAGGGGACCUUCGGGCCUUGCGCUAUCAGAUGAGCCUAGGUCGGAUUAGCUAGUUGGUGAGGUAAUGGCUCACCAAGGCGACGAUCCGUAACUGGUCUGAGAGGAUGAUCAGUCACACUGGAACUGAGACACGGUCCAGACUCCUACGGGAGGCAGCAGUGGGGAAUAUUGGACAAUGGGCGAAAGCCUGAUCCAGCCAUGCCGCGUGUGUGAAGAAGGUCUUCGGAUUGUAAAGCACUUUAAGUUGGGAGGAAGGGCAGUAAAUUAAUACUUUGCUGUUUUGACGUUACCGACAGAAUAAGCACCGGCUAACUCUGUGCCAGCAGCCGCGGUAAUACAGAGGGUGCAAGCGUUAAUCGGAAUUACUGGGCGUAAAGCGCGCGUAGGUGGUUUGUUAAGUUGGAUGUGAAAUCCCCGGGCUCAACCUGGGAACUGCAUUCAAAACUGACUGACUAGAGUAUGGUAGAGGGUGGUGGAAUUUCCUGUGUAGCGGUGAAAUGCGUAGAUAUAGGAAGGAACACCAGUGGCGAAGGCGACCACCUGGACUAAUACUGACACUGAGGUGCGAAAGCGUGGGGGGCAAACAGGAUUAGAUACCCUGGUAGUCCACGCCGUAAACGAUGUCAACUAGCCGUUGGAAGCCUUGAGCUUUUAGUGGCGCAGCUAACGCAUUAAGUUGACCGCCUGGGGAGUACGGCCGCAAGGUUAAAACUCAAAUGAAUUGACGGGGGCCCGCACAAGCGGUGGAGCAUGUGGUUUAAUUCGAAGCAACGCGAAGAACCUUACCAGGCCUUGACAUCCAAUGAACUUUCUAGAGAUAGAUUGGUGCCUUCGGGAACAUUGAGACAGGUGCUGCAUGGCUGUCGUCAGCUCGUGUCGUGAGAUGUUGGGUUAAGUCCCGUAACGAGCGCAACCCUUGUCCUUAGUUACCAGCACGUCAUGGUGGGCACUCUAAGGAGACUGCCGGUGACAAACCGGAGGAAGGUGGGGAUGACGUCAAGUCAUCAUGGCCCUUACGGCCUGGGCUACACACGUGCUACAAUGGUCGGUACAGAGGGUUGCCAAGCCGCGAGGUGGAGCUAAUCCCACAAAACCGAUCGUAGUCCGGAUCGCAGUCUGCAACUCGACUGCGUGAAGUCGGAAUCGCUAGUAAUCGCGAAUCAGAAUGUCGCGGUGAAUACGUUCCCGGGCCUUGUACUCACCGCCCGUC